This 542-nucleotide ribosomal RNA is filed under the name uncultured Comamonadaceae bacterium. RNAcentral's name for it is "bacterial SSU rRNA". It matches the Rfam family "Bacterial small subunit ribosomal RNA", at positions 96 to 632 of the family's 1533-position model. The record is from RNAcentral. Lineage: Bacteria; Pseudomonadati; Pseudomonadota; Betaproteobacteria; Burkholderiales; Comamonadaceae.
UGGCGAACGGGUGAGUAAUAUAUCGGAACGUGCCCAGUCGUGGGGGAUAACGUAGAGAAAUUUACGCUAAUACCGCAUACGAUCUAAGGAUGAAAGCGGGGGACUCGCAAGGGCCUCGCGCGAUUGGAGCGGCCGAUAUCAGAUUAGCUAGUUGGUGGGGUAAAAGCCCACCAAGGCGACGAUCUGUAGCUGGUCUGAGAGGACGACCAGCCACACUGGAACUGAGACACGGUCCAGACUCCUACGGGAGGCAGCAGUGGGGAAUUUUGGACAAUGGGCGAAAGCCUGAUCCAGCAAUGCCGCGUGCAGGAUGAAGGCCUUCGGGUUGUAAACUGCUUUUGUACGGAACGAAAAGGUCUGCCUUAAUACGGCGGGCCCAUGACGGUACCGUAAGAAUAAGCACCGGCUAACUACGUGCCAGCAGCCGCGGUAAUACGUAGGGUGCAAGCGUUAAUCGGAAUUACUGGGCGUAAAGCGUGCGCAGGCGGCUUUGCAAGACAGAUGUGAAAUCCCCGGGCUCAACCUGGGAACUGCAUUUGUGA